Mercurialis annua (annual mercury) is the source of this 767-nucleotide long non-coding RNA. RefSeq lists it as uncharacterized. The transcript has 6 exons. Lineage: Eukaryota; Viridiplantae; Streptophyta; Magnoliopsida; Malpighiales; Euphorbiaceae. The record is from RefSeq and is a predicted model, not a curated record.
UCAAUUUUCUCUCUCAAUUCCAAAUAAAACUCGUUCGAGAACCUUUUAAUUGACCUAGGGUUUCCAUUUCAAAUUUCAAAAAAACCUCGCAGUUCAGGUCUCGUUCUCGUAUCUAUGCAAGAGAAGAUCAACAAAGUCUGCGAUCUCAGCCCUAUAUGUGUACUUCCUCAGUCAAGGUUCUUGGAUUAGUUGUUAACAGGGAUCCAAAGUUCACCAAUCUUGUUGAGGUUUAUUACUGUCAUGAUAUUAAUAUGCAGGUAAGGUCUUUGACAGAAUGCCAGAGAAGAACCGUUGAAAUGUGGAUUUGAUAUUGAUAAUUCUAACGUUCCAUGAGAUCAAAAGAACCGAGAUUCAAAGCAAACGAAACAAGCUUAUUAUGACAGAUUAAAGCUGUUAUGGUAGUGGAACUAGAACAUCUCGAAAAGAAUGCCGAGGAGCAAGAAGAAACCGGACAUCUUGAUGAGAAUAUUAAAGUACAACCAAACGAAGAGACAAAUUCAGCCUUAUGGAUUUGAUGUGGGACAAUCGGAGAGGAGAGCAUUCCUUAAAGGAUUUGACCAAGGUGUUGAAGCCUUUGUUAAUUGUUCCACCUGAGCUAGCAUAUGGAAGUAAGGGAGUUCAAGAAAUUCCCCCAAAUGCGACAAUAAAGAUAGAUGUUGAACUGCUGUCCAUCAAAACAAGCCCAUUCGGGUGAGUGAAAGACUUCCAAGGAGUUUCAUGUACUUCAACUCGCAGGAAGAGGUACGACACCUUCAGUUUAGUUAAAG